RNAcentral lists this ribosomal RNA (468 nucleotides) under uncultured bacterium. RNAcentral's name for it is "bacterial SSU rRNA". It matches the Rfam family "Bacterial small subunit ribosomal RNA", at positions 32 to 523 of the family's 1533-position model. The record is from RNAcentral.
AAUCAACGCUGGCGGCGUGCCUCAGACAUGCAAGUCGAACGGUUAAAGCUUUCUUCGGAAAGUGUAUAAAGUGGCGUACGGGAGAGUAACACGUAAGUAAUCUACCCUCGGGUGGGGAAUAACUUAAGGAAACUUAAGCUAAUACCGCAUAAUGCAGUUUACUGUUAAAGCAUUUAUGCGCCUGGGGAGGAGCUUGCGGCAGAUUAGCUAGUUGGUAAGGUAACGGCUUACCAAGGCGACGAUCUGUAGCCGGUCUAAGAGGACGGUCGGUCUCACUGACACUGAAUAACGGGUCAGACUCCUACGGGAGGCAGCAGUCGGGAAUUUUGGGCAAUGGGCGAAAGCCUGACCCAGCAACGCCGCGUGAAGGAUGAAGUCUUUCGGGAUGUAAACUUCGGAAAUAUGGGAAGAAUAAAUGACGGUACCAUAUCUAAGGUCCGGCUAACUACGUGCCAGCAGCCGCGGUAA